AUUGAACGCUGGCGGCAGGCUUAACACAUGCAAGUCGAGCGGGGAAAGGUAGCUUGCUACCUGACCUAGCGGCGGACGGGUGAGUAAUGCUUAGGAAUCUGCCUAUUAUUGGGGGACAACAUCCCGAUAGGGAUGCUAAUACCGCAUACGUCCUACGGGAGAAAGCAGGGGACCUUCGGGCGUUUCGCCAAUAUAUGAGCCUAAGUCGGAUUAGCUAGUUGGUGGGGUAAAGGCCUACCAAGGCGACGAUCUGUAGCGGGUCUGAGAGGACGAUCCGCCACGCUGGGACGAGGACACGGCCCACACUCCUAGGGGAGGGAGCAGUGGCGGAUUCUGGACGAUGGCAGGAACGCUGAUCCAGGCACGCCGCGUGUGUGAAGGAGGCCGUUUGGUUGUGAAGCACUUUAAGCGAGGAGGAGGCUACCGAGAUUAAUACUCUUGGAUAGUGGACGUUACUCGCAGAAUAAGCACCGGCUAACUCUGUG
This 485-nucleotide ribosomal RNA is filed under the name uncultured bacterium. Its description in RNAcentral is "partial 16S ribosomal RNA". It matches the Rfam family "Bacterial small subunit ribosomal RNA", at positions 30 to 507 of the family's 1533-position model. The record is from RNAcentral.